CAGCUGCUCAGCUAAAAAAUGUUAAUUAAAAGAAGCAAAAGUGGAUAACGUGGUGCCAGUAAGAUGGUAUCAAUAUGAUCUAGUCUCAAUUAAGUUAGUCGCAGGUAAGUGUUAAAAAAAAGUUUUACCAUUUAUUUUUAGACUAAUUUUUUAAUGUAUUGUGCUUGAAGAACGAUGUUUAUUACAUAUUAAAUUAAAAUAUUUAUUUUCAGACAAAAAAUAAAACCUGUAAACAACUUCUCUCUAUAUUUACUUGUUCAGAUGCCAGUAAAACAAACGAUAGAAAAGAAGAAGCAUUCAAAAUGUUCGCAAAAUUUUUGGUUCGGAUACAAAAAACCAAGUGAAAAUGAUACUGGAAAGUAUUUUGUCAAUAACGGAUUUUUAAAUUGUUAUGAGUCUACAACACUUAAUUUCAGCGAAACUCAAUUAAAGAAUCAUGUUAUAGAAGACAGAAAAGUACCAAUAUCUGUUUUCAAUAACUUGGUUUUCAUAGCAAAUCUGAGAGACUGUUUACCGUUUAAGUCCUGUCCCAAUCUAACCUAGUGGGUUUAAAAAGAAGGGGCCGCGCUGGAAACAGUGGAUUAAAAGGUUCAGCCCUUUUUGAAUUAAUAGUCGAAGUGUUAACCAGCUAGAAGUCGUAACCUGCUCGUAUAAAAGGAUUUCUCGACGUGAAAUUGUUAAUUUUAUUCAACAACGCCAAGAAACAGAGCUCGCUCAAGAAACAGAAAAGAAAGAGAAAGA
Long non-coding RNA from Hydra vulgaris (swiftwater hydra), 741 nucleotides. RefSeq lists it as uncharacterized. Lineage: Eukaryota; Metazoa; Cnidaria; Hydrozoa; Anthoathecata; Hydridae. The record is from RefSeq and is a predicted model, not a curated record.